GAAUGACUUUCGGCAACGGAUAUCUCGGCUCACGCAUCGAUGAAGAACGUAGCAAAAUGCGAUACUUGGUGUGAAUUGCAGAAUCCCGUGAACCAUCGAGUUUUUGAACGCAAGUUGCGCCCGAAGCCAUCUGGUUGAGGGCACGCCUGCCUGGGCGUCACG
RNAcentral lists this ribosomal RNA (162 nucleotides) under Taraxacum sp. Sojak 726. RNAcentral describes it as "5.8S ribosomal RNA". It matches the Rfam family "5.8S ribosomal RNA". Rfam says of the family: 5.8S ribosomal RNA (5.8S rRNA) is a component of the large subunit of the eukaryotic ribosome. It is transcribed by RNA polymerase I as part of the 45S precursor that also contains 18S and 28S rRNA. Lineage: Eukaryota; Viridiplantae; Streptophyta; Magnoliopsida; Asterales; Asteraceae. The record is from RNAcentral.